Molecule: small nuclear RNA, 105 nt
Filed under: Phascolarctos cinereus (koala)
Lineage: Eukaryota; Metazoa; Chordata; Mammalia; Diprotodontia; Phascolarctidae
Source: RNAcentral
GUGCUCACUUUGGAAGUAUGUUUGCUAAAAUUGGAAAGACAGAGAAGAUUGACCUGGCCCCUGCGCAAGGAUGUUGUGCAAAUUCGUGAAGCAUUCCAUAUUUUU